Molecule: long non-coding RNA, 7552 nt
Organism: Ictidomys tridecemlineatus (thirteen-lined ground squirrel)
Lineage: Eukaryota; Metazoa; Chordata; Mammalia; Rodentia; Sciuridae
Source: RefSeq, a predicted model, not a curated record
AGUCGGGAGGUGAACCGCGACAAGGGCAUGGGGGUAUAGACCCAGGAAAGAGCUGUCAUUUGCUACCCCCACUGGAGAGAGGACAGCGCGCCGACCCGGGGAUCGCAGGUGGCCAUUGUGGCAGGGCUGGAACGACUGCGGUGGAGCAAGAGGACCUUGUAGACACCGCGGAGCCGCCGAAGAGGAAAAGACUCCCCAGGCCCAGAGGCUUAAGGAGGCCAAGUGGAUCUAGGCCGGAGGAGAAGAGCCUUAGGGCCCCACAGAAGAAGCUAGCAGUCCCAGCUUCCCGCUCGAGGCCAUCGUUUAGCGAUGCCAGGCCCCGACCCCACCGUAGGCCUUGAGAAAUGCACCAGGCAGGGUUUCAAUUCUUAGAUUCUAACUGUGGCUCAGCUUUGUCGCACUGUGUAGCCUAAGGCCGACUCCUUCCCUUAUCAGGGCCUCAGUCUGUGUACCACGAUGGGGUCAGGUGGAAUAGUCUCCCCUGGUUCUUCAUGGUUUAACAGGCUGAGACUCUGAUUUGCUCCUUUCAAAAUCCCAAGAGCAGCCAGCCACACGCCCUGUUAAUCAGAGCCCUUGUCUGCAGACCCAGCCAAUGUUAAGUGUGUUCUUUUGAGAGAAAUAGCUGUCCUUUCACUAUAUUUGAAUCCAUUAAAUAAAAGAGCUCAAAUUAAAAUAUAAGAUAUUCAGACUUAGACUUCUUGUCCUCUUCCCCCUUUUCAGUGAGUGUAAGUCUCUAGGGUGAGAGAGUACUGAACUUAACUACUUUUAAACCCAGGCAUGUGGUACGAAAUUUGUAUUCAUUUUUUAAACAGUUUUUGAGCCAAAAGUCAGCUGCCAUUCUAGGAUCUGAGAAAUCAGUUGAAUAAGGAGCUUCUGUGACCUUCAGGAAUACAUGGUCCAGUGGAUUAGAGUGGAUGAUGGAGUCCCACAAAUCUGAGUUUGAUUCCCAGCUUUCUCAUUUUCUAGCUUUAUUAUAUUGUGCAGGUUCCUUAAUCACACCAAGCCUCUUCUUCUUCAUCUAUAAAAUAGAGAAAGUAAUACCUCAUGCAAUUGUUGUGAGGCUUAAAUAAAAUAAAAGUUUAGCAUAGUUCCUGGCACGUAAUAAUAGCCCAAUCAAUGUAAAUUGCUAUUAUGGUUGUGGAGGAGGUGAGUAGGCAAAUGUAUUAGAUAACAUUGUAAUAGAAGCAUGAGCAAUGGGUUGUGGGAUGUACCAUGGAAAGAUUCAGAAAAGUGGUUGCAUUUGAGCUGGGUCUUUAAAUAUAAGUAAGAAUUUAUGAGAUAGAGAUGAGAAAAAAUAAUUGUAAGCAGAAAAACUGUGAAUAAAGGUCCAGGAGUUUGAAUAUUGGAGAACUAUUCAGAAAUAACUUGAUUUGAAAUUUGGGGCAGUUACCUUUCAUAUUCCUUGUGUUGGCUGCCUCAACAAGUGCUCUGGUUCAGCUGUGUUCUUCCUGGGACUUCGAUGCCCUUCCUUUCAACCUGUCUGUACUUGGCUUUCUUUUCCAAGGGUCAGCCCAAUCCUCAACUUUUUGAGACCUCCCUGCUUUCUGCUUUUCCCAUUUCUUGUAGCACUUAAUUUCUUACUACAUGGUUUAGCAGUAAUUACAUGUUGUCCUGUUAUUUAAUUACCUCAUUUGUGUAAGUCUAGUCUCCCCAGUUCUCCAGGGCAGAGAUAGCAUUUUCCCAUUUUGUGUCCUAUAUGGGGCUGACAUAAACUCAGUCCACAGAAUAUGUUCAAGCAAUGCCUGUUGACGACCAGAUACCUUGUGCUGAUAGUGAUAUAGCCACAUGUACCAGAGCCCAAUUAUGGGAUUUACUGAUUUGAAUGGAAAUGUCUUCACUCCACAUCCACACGUUAUUGAGUGUUCUCUCUGUUUGAAGCUAGUUAAAAGGUUUUGAAGGAGAGGAUCUGAGAAGACACAUGUGUAAGGUGCUUGUUGCCAUGUAUAAAAUGGCGUUAUGGCAUCUUGUUGCCAGAGAACAAGGGAUAGAUGUCAGGGGCAGCUGGCCUCCUCACUGGCAUAACAGGAGCACUGUCAGGAAAGGCAACUUUGUUUCCUUGAGCUUUGGAUUUGCCUGAACCGCCCAGGUUCCAAACCAUCAGCCAUUCUCUUCUAUUCCCCAAACUGUGGUUGGAUUGUGGCACAGAGUCAGGUUGAUUCAAUUCCUCUUCAAAGCACUAUUCGAACAAGGAGAGACCCAGACCUAGGCAUGGAAGUUGGGAAGACUCCGAAGCAGCUGCAUCUACAAUGACCAACCUGAAUGGUGAGGAUUAGGAACUAGCCAGGUGAUGAUGAAGGGAAGGUACAGUACAGGAAAAGGAAAUAGCUGAUGCAAAGUCCCAGGGAGACACAGAAAACACAGCUUCGCAAAGAAAGCACAACUUAAGAUCACUGUGAGCCAGGCGUGGUGACACACACCUGUAAUCCCAGUGGCUAGGGCAGCUGAGACAGGAGGAUCUCAAGUUUAAAGCCAGCCUCAGCAAAAGCAAGGUGCUGAGCUAAGACUGUGAGAUCCUGUCUCUAAAAUAAAGUACAAAAUAGGGCUGAGGAUGUGGCUCAGUGGUCAAGUGCCCCUGAGUUCAAUCUCUGAUUAAAAAAACAAAACAAAACAAACAAAAAAAAACAAUUACUGUGGUUAUAGGGGGUCAGAGUUGGCAUGAGGGGUUGGGGGCAUAGAAUAGUUGACACUCCUUUCAUCUGAAGCCGUAUGGGGCCAGGUCAUAAGGCCCUAGAGUUGUCUGGACUUGGUCAGAGGGCAAGGAACACCUAGGAAGGGUUUUAGCAGAGGAGUAACCAGGCCAGAGGAACAAAGAAAGGACUUUGGCUACUGUGUGGGGGACAGAUUGGAGAGAGAAAGUCUUCAUUUUCACUGUCUCUUCUAGGCCAGUGGCUUCACCUUCAUCAUUGAGAAGGCUUGGUCAUCACCUCAGCACUGACUUGGGUUCUUUAGAUGUUUUUUUAUUAGUGGGGAUUUUUUUUUUAUAUAGGAAUGCAAAUUCCUUUAUACAAAUGUUUUGUUUUGUUUCAUUUAUUUUUAAAAGGACAUGUAGAAAACCUGCUACCUGGCAGGGAUCUGGACAUGGGCUUGGUCAGACAGUCAAACAAUUUCUAUUUAAGUGUGCAAUGUGUUAAGGAAGAGCCUGCUGGUAGGGAUCAGGGAGCAUGCCAAGUUCAGUAGAUUUGACCCCUCAGAUGAAAAGAUAUAUAAAAUUUAAAUUAUCUUUUCAUUACCAAUGAAAAGAUAAUGUAGGGGAGGGCAUAGAAGGUCAUUGAAAGAGCUACUACUCCAGUAAGAAGUCAAAUAGUACUAAAGGUUUAUAUCAAACCCAGCAGACUUCGGCUCCCUGCUCUCCAGUCUCUAGUUCUGCUCCCCAGAGGCAACCAUUGUCAACCCUUUGAAAAUGUCAGGAGGCAGAAGGGCAGAGGCUCUGAAACUGGCGUGUCUCACAUCCAACGUAGCUCUCCUAAAGACCAGCCAGGUUAUCUUGGUCAAGUUAAUUAUAAUAGUUCCCUCAGUUUUCUCAUCUGUAAGAUGGAACAGUGCUGUCAAUGAAUAGUAGCUGCAUGUGAUGCUGAUGAUAGAUGAGGACUAACUUGAGAGGCGCUAUGAGCAUACUCUGAUGUUAGUCAUAUACUAUACAAAUAAACAUAAGGCCUGAUUAUGGCUUCGAGGAAAUGACAAGGACAUGGACUCAGUUGGAGAGGUCUGAGUCUUCCCCUUCUUCUAAGGUCAAACCCUGUUUAUUCUCAGGCCCAUUCCCUUCCUGUCUUUUGUAGAACCUUGUUGCUAUUAUUAUCCUUUUCCUCAUGCUAAAGCAUACAUCUCUUUACUAGAUAUUUUUUUCUUUCUGCCUAUGAAAUAGACCAGGGCUUACUUAGGUGAGAAGCUCUUUACUUGAUCCUCCUGCCCUUUUCUGCUCCUAUUCUGUUCAUUUCUGUCUACCACCAGAUUUCUUAGUCAACACACAUUCUGCUUCCCAGUUCUAUACAACUUCCUUGCUCUUCAUCCAUGUCUCCCAGCUUUUAUCCUUGUUCUUCUGAUGCAGGGUCACAAGAUCAUCAAAGCUCACCUCAUUAAUCCCCAGUGGGCCUUUGGAUCCAGAGCACUUGACUCAACUCCUUAAAUUUUACAUACAGAACCUCAUCAUCCUGCUCCUUCGUUUUCUAUUGUAUCAAUUCUCUAAGCCAUCCAGGCAAGAAAGAGGGGUGACUCAAUUCCCCUGUGUCCCUUCCACGCCCACAUUAGUUUUGACUCUCACUGCAAAUGCUAGAAACUCAUUGAGGAUAGCUUUUGAAAAGCUUUACCAGGAUACCAGGGUAGCAGGGGGGAUAUCUAAUGAACCCCACGAUCAGGAUAGAGCUGGCAGCCAGGAAAAACUAGAACUAGAGACUCAGGAGUCAACAAAUUGAGCAAUCUGUCUCUCUCUCCCUCUCCCUCUCCUUCCUUCUUUCCUUCCUUCCUUCCUUGUGGAUUUCUUGUGAUCUGCACAGACACCCCAAAGGUGUCAGAUACUCCCACACCCAGCUAGUCACCAGGUCCUAUUAAAAAUCACCCUCUUGCGUCAGGGCUGGAGUCUCCUCUGCAGUUUCCCUUGUACUGCAUCUUGCUUGUUUGUUUACCAUCUGAUCAUUUUUCUGUCUCUGUUAUUGCUUCUUCCUUCUUCUGACCCCUAGCGCAAGCAUCACAUUUCAGUUCUUUGCUCUUUUCUGAAGCUCCCUUUUGUUUUUUUUUUUUUUUGACUCCUAAAUAAGAAUAUAGUGAUUAAGAACUUAGGUUCUAGAAUCCUAAUGGCCUGUAUUUGAAUCUUCCACUACUUUCUGAUUGUGUAAACUUGGGAAAGUUACUUGAAUUUGUGAACCUUAAUUCCUCCUCUGUGAAUUGAGGUACAUAUAAAGUGCUUAGUUGGCACAAUGUCCAGCGCACAGAAAGAACUCAAUCGGUGGUAACAAUGAUUAGCCUUACCUUGUCCUCUUUCCUGAGUUUUAGUCCUAGAUCCCCUGCUAGCCUUUUCCCUUAGAUGUUCUGCUGAGAUCUCAUAUCCACCUGUCAGAAUUCUCCAGAUACUGAGGGAAGAUGCACCUUUCCCCAAGAGAAUUGAGGGUAGGAGGCCUGAAAAAGAUGGAUGGUCUCAUCAAAUUCUCGAAGGAACCUGACCUUAGUCAGGCCUCAGGAGAAAAGACUCCAAAGAGCAGUGCUCCUGUAAGCCCCCAAGUCCUGUGCUGGCUGACUCUUGGGACUCAGGAGGGCAGGCAGAGCUGCCAUUAGAGGCACAUGGAGGAUGGGAAUCCAAUCUAAAACAACGGGGUGGUGAGAGAUGUCGCAGGAUCUUCAGUGCUUCAAGAGUGUGUGAAAAGUGUGAGCUGCAUCCUCAGGGCAUUGUGCCAGGCUCAGGCUGGGGCCUCCCUCAAGUGCUGGGGUUUUGGUGCACUUCUGGAGGCCAGAAGCACUCCUGUUUUUAGCUGAGCUAUUACAGAUCCCCUUUGCACCCUUGUGAACAUUCAUCACCAAGUCCCACGGGUAGAGUGUACAGCUUUCUAGGGCCCAGCAGCCCUGCUCUACUGGCCUGCUCUCUGCUCCCAGGUGGAGACAUUUCUGCAACAGGAAUCUUGGAGGGCAGUGCUCUCCUCCCACCAGCACAGAGAUGGGGAGUGGGGCAGGGAGGCUGCCCUGCCAAAUAGUUCAGCGCUCUGACUCUGAGUCAGAAUGUGCCUGUGCAUCCUGCCUUUGCCAUUACUGUCUUUGUGGUCCUAGGUCAGUCAGUUAACUUCUCUGUCUCCUCUGUACUGCAGGGAUGAUGAAGGGCUGGGGAUAUAGCUCAAUUGGUAGAGUGCUUGCCUUAUAUGACCAAGGCCAUGGGUUCAAUCCCCAGCAACACAAAAAUAAACAAACAAAAAAAUGGAGAUACUGAAGGGGUGGUAAUUCAAUAAUGAGUCUAAUUGUUGAAUUUUAGUAAGAUAAUGCAGGGAAAGCACUCAGUUUUAUUCACUUACAUGAUCUGAACCCUAGGGCCCUGGCCUUGCAGGAAUAACAACCCCCAUUCCACACACACACCCUGACUGCCAUCUCUAUCCCAUCUGUUUAGUCCUCUGUUUACAUAUCUGUCGUUGCCUUUGGAUGAUAAGCUCCAUUAAAUCAAAGAACUGUAUGGGUCUAUGUCCCUUGUGUCCAGCAUAGGACUUGGUAUAUGGAUGAUCUUAAUACUUGUUUAUUGGAAGGAAGUGGUGAAACAAUAUAGAAGACUCAGGAUUCAUUCGGCCUCAGAGUCCCAUCAUCCACUCUAGUUACUCCCCAUAAGUGGAGGGCCUAGGUCCCUCGAUGUCCUAGAAGCUGGAGAUACCACAGCAAAUGCAACAGACUGAGCUCCUAGCCUGGUGAACUGUCCAAAGGGUGAAAGACAUUAAUCGCUUAACAAAACCAAUGCUACAUUUCAACUGGGAAACUUGCAAGUAAGGAGAAACCUGCUGCUGUGACAGCAUAGAACAGGAGGAUCACUUUUGGGGGAGGAAAGAAUUGGAAGGAAUUUGCCACACCAUGUAACAAGUAAUGUAGGCCCAAAGAAAGGAUAGGCUGUAGGUUAGGGAUGUAGCUCAGUAUUAGAGUACUUGCCUAGCAUGUAAGAGGCCCUGGGUUCAAUCCCCAGCAAAACACAAACACACAGAGGCUUGGUUGAAGCAGAAGGUGAAAAAAAUCUUUCAGGCAGAGGGAAUGUGCAAAAGUCCUGAGGCUGAAAGUACUGAGUCUGCUGGAUGGAAAACAAGGCUUAUGUGACUAGAACCCUAUAAUGGAGGAAUUCAGUGGCCUCUAGAAGGUUGCAGAGCUGGGAGCACAGGUUAUGCAGAGCCUUUUUUUUUUUUUUUUUUGAAUGAUACUAGUUAAAAUUUACUCAAUUUUAUGUAUAUGUGCACUGUGCUAAGUACUUUGCAUGCAUGUUUUCUCAGUUACUUUUCACUUUUUUGGUGCUAUUAUUCCCAUUUUACAGGUGAGGAAAAUCCUGACUUAGGAAGGUAAACUUGCUCUGGAUCACACAGAUGGUGCUAACGUAGUUGGGAUUUGAACCCACCCGUUAGGGCCCAACAUCUACCUUCUUAAUUCCUGCACCGGGUCUAAGAAUUAAGUGCGGACUUCCAUCUUUGGUGCACAUUCCAGCUUUGCUACUUGUCGCUGAUGCUUAUCCUCCAGACUGGAGGAACCUAGGUAUACCUUUGUCCUGGUCAGACGUGCUCUCCGUGCUCUCUCCAGUGGCAACUGCCUGUAGAGGUGGCCAGAGUUGCCUGGUUUGGGCUCCCGUCCACGUGACCAACCAGGCGCCGCCUUGCCAGUGCGGUGCAGUGCGACGGGUGCUGCCGCUGCCACCGCAGCUGUGAAAUCUGGAGACAUCCCACCCGGGAGCCACCCCGGGUUGGGCAGGGAGGGGCGCCCGGCAGCCUCCGGCAGAGGGCUCCCUCCCCGCGCUCCCAGGACUGAGCCCGCAGCCCUGUGCCUGCUUCACGUCUCCUCCAGCGUUGAGGGGGAAAGCAGCGUUCAUUUCUGAUUAAAAACGACUCUUUUAAAA